UAGCUGCUGGUGGCUGUUACCACAGCAAACAUGGUGAGGUCAGAACCCUGGGCCAGCCCAGCACUACUGUUGGUCACCAGGGCCCCUGGCGGCUGUUGCUAGGAGAUAGUCACAACAGCAAGGUCAGCUUUUCCAGCCACAUGGCUUUUCUGCAUAGCUCCUACUCCUCCCAACCCCAGCUUGAAGAUGCUGACCCUAAGAGAGGAGCUGGACUAUGUUCCCUGGUUCCUGACAACCCCCAAAACCUGAUGUGGGCAGGACAAAGGUCAGGUUUCUCAGAGAAGCUGCAUGGCAGUCCUGUGUGAGUAGAAUUGUUCAACCUCUCCCAAGAACACUGAGGGGCAGAAUAUACUCACUAGAAAGCCUGGAAUCCUUUCUACUGAGGAAAGCAUCCUUUCCUAUAAUUUGGCCUCACUGUAGGAGCAGUGUGACUGCUUCCUUUUGGAAAUUUUCUAAGAUUCAGGAAGACUGACACAGCCCCACCCCUGCUUGACCUAGGCUACACCAGUACCCGUCAACUCACCCUUAGAGCAACUUUUCAACCCUGAACCCAAUCCGGAGAAGCUUGCCCCAAGGUGGCCCAUGAGAUGAGUUUACGUUUUUUUCACCAUACCUGGCUACUGAGUGUCUCCUCUCUACCCUGGCAGCAAGGAAGCUGUAGAGGACCCAACACCACUUCAGUCUUCAGGACCACUCACCUCACACUCUGCCUUGCUCUUUGGUCCAACAGUGCCCCGGAUCCGCUCACUAAGGGGAAGGUGCUGGAUGAAAGUGAAUCCCGGGAGGACAGAACAGUAGGGCUCUGCCCUCUGCCCGAAGUUGAACUCCACAGCACAAUUCUUUACCAGAACAUGAGGGUAGAGGGCCUGACCCCCCAAUGCUUCUUUCUGGAUUCGGAAGGCAAUGCCCAUCCACUUCCCAUUCUUGGUAAAUGAAAGUUCCACAUCAUUUCCACAUUCAAAGUCCUAGAAGAGAAAGCCAAAAAUAAUUAUCAACUCUUGGUUUAAGGCACUGGGAGCCAAAGUGGAAGAAAAUCAGUACAGGGAUAGAAAUACAGCCAGUUUUGCA
Non-coding RNA from Ictidomys tridecemlineatus (thirteen-lined ground squirrel), 1068 nucleotides. The record is from RefSeq and is a predicted model, not a curated record. NCBI's taxonomy places the organism in Eukaryota, Metazoa, Chordata, Mammalia, Rodentia, Sciuridae.